This 21-nucleotide non-coding RNA is filed under the name Mus musculus (house mouse). Lineage: Eukaryota; Metazoa; Chordata; Mammalia; Rodentia; Muridae. The record is from RNAcentral.
CUGUCAAAGGGAUCGAGUAAG